GACGAACGCUGGCGGCGUGCUUAACACAUGCAAGUCGAACGGAAAGGCCCUGCUUUUGCGGGGUGCUCGAGUGGCGAACGGGGGAGUAACACGUGAGUAACCUGUCCUUGACUUUGGGAUAACUUCAGGAAACUGGGGCUAAUACCGGAUAGGAGCUCCUGCAGCACGGUGGGGGUUGGAAAGUUUCGGCGGUUGGGGAUGGACUCGCGGCUUAUCAGCUUGUUGGUGGGGUAGUGGCUUACCAAGGCUUUGACGGGUAGCCGGCCUGAGAGGGUGGCCGGCCACAUUGGGACUGCGGUACGGCCCAGACUCCUACGGGAGGCAGCAGUGGGGAAUAUUGCACAGUGGGCGGGAGCCUGAUGCAGCAGCGCCGCGUGCGGGAUGACGGCCUUCGGGUUGUAAACCGCUUUCGCCUGUGACGAAGCGUGAGUGACGGUAAUGGGUAAAGAAGCACCGGCUAACUACGUG
Molecule: ribosomal RNA, 468 nt
Filed under: uncultured bacterium
Lineage: Bacteria
Description: partial 16S ribosomal RNA
Rfam family: Bacterial small subunit ribosomal RNA
Source: RNAcentral